GGCUGCCCGGAACUCUUUCCCUGUUGCACUACUGUGGGAACUCGCGCUAGCAGUGCAAUAACGAAAGGGCAUCGGCCAGCU
RNAcentral lists this microRNA precursor (81 nucleotides) under Scleropages formosus (Asian bonytongue). Its description in RNAcentral is "mir-130 microRNA precursor family". It matches the Rfam family "mir-130 microRNA precursor family". Rfam says of the family: The hairpin precursors (represented here) are predicted based on base pairing and cross-species conservation -- their extents are not known. Lineage: Eukaryota; Metazoa; Chordata; Actinopteri; Osteoglossiformes; Osteoglossidae. The record is from Rfam by way of RNAcentral.